Molecule: ribosomal RNA, 441 nt
Filed under: uncultured bacterium
Lineage: Bacteria
Description: bacterial SSU rRNA
Rfam family: Bacterial small subunit ribosomal RNA
Source: RNAcentral
CUACGGGAGGCAGCAGUGAGGAAUAUUGCACAAUGGACGCAAGUCUGAUGCAGCAACGCCGCGUGGAGGAUGACGGCCCUUGGGUUGUAAACUCCUUUUUUCAGGGAAGAGAAUGGACGGUACCUGAAGAAUAAGUCACGGCUAACUACGUGCCAGCAGCCGCGGUAAUACGUAGGUGGCAAGCGUUAUCCGGAAUUACUGGGCGUAAAGCGCACGCAGGCGGUCUUUUAAGUUUGACGUGAAAGCUCCCGGCUUAACUGGGAGAGGUCGUUGAAUACUGGGAGACUUGAGGCAAUGAGAGGGGUGUAGAAUUCCUGGUGUAGUGGUGGAAUGCGUAGAUAUCAGGAGGAAUACCAGUGGCGAAAGCGGCACCCUAGCGUUGUACUGACGCUCAUGUGCGAAAGCGUGGGGAGCGAACGGGAUUAGAAACCCCUGUAGUCC